ACCAAAUCGUAGGCAGUUAGCCUAGAAAAUGCUAAAGUUGAAACAAUAUUUUGGCAUGAACAAAGUGGCCGGAAAUUGUGCACUCCGCCGUGAUCGUUGCCGGACGAUUGUACUUUCGAUUCUCUCCUCCAAGACGAUGGAAUAUUGAACGAGUAAUUUCAACUUUAAAGUUGUCUCUCAAGGAAGGUUCUGAUUUUAGGGUUUCUGAUUUUAACAUGGACAACUAUCAGUUUUAGGUUUCCAGUUACAACUACGAUGACAUAUACAGACGGUUUAAUGUUGCUGUUCUUUUGGCCAAUCUGCAUGAGUGUUUGUUCUUUAUAAAUGAUGUUUGCAAGAUAGGGCCUGAGUGUUGAAUAUAGAAAGUUGACAUUGAUCAUCAACACUGGAGGUGCAAUGACCAUUGGACACAACAGGUAACUUCUAUAUUCAAGCCUUAAUUUAGUGAGUUGAUUUGUAAAUGAGAUCUGAUUUCUAAAUUAGGGUUUCAUUUUGAGAUAUUCUGGGUUCCGGUAUGAUGAGUUUGGGGUCUUAUUUCAACAAUAAUUUUGAAACGAAGCUGUUACUUUUGAACCCUGCUAUUUUUAUGUUCUUUAUUCUUGUAGUUCUGUCUUUGUGUAUUGUUUUUUUGCGUGAGUUGGUGGACAAUGGUUUCUCGCUUGUUCUUUGUGGUUGUCGUCAAAUGUAGUUUAUGUGCAUCAAGAUGUCUGAAACCUGGACAUCCAAAUACUGGAGUACGAUAGAACAAGUAGAAUAAAGAUGUUUGCAAUUUUCAUCUUGUGUGUAUCUUUGUUGGUUGGUUUUAUACAGCUAACCGAUAAACGAAACCCAAAGUUGACCGAAUCCACAGGAUUUACAUUUUUCAUGACCAUAACUUCAGUUAUGCAUCUAACGAUCAUCUGAAAAUACUAUGAGAUUUAAAUAAACCUAUUAGAACAAACUAUUUGGUUCAGAUUGUCAUGAAAGCUUGGAGAUUGUAAACACUCGACUUGCUUGUUAUUAAAUUUUCUAGAGAUAUGAAGUAAAUAAGCUAGUGAAAGUAAAUAUUCAUUGGAGUGAAGCUCUAGCAACUUUAGACCAUUUGCGGCCAUCGUGGUGUGGUGCUAGAUGACAGUGAAGUCUACAAAUGACGAAGAGAGAAGGGUUGUAUCAGCUAAAGACUUAACGAAUGUGCUUAAAGUAGCACUGUAAGAGGGUUGUAUCAGCUAAAGACUUAACGAAGGUGCUUAAAGUAGCAAUGCUAUAUGAUUUUAAUGUUGGGAAAUUAUCUAUGUACCCGUUAAAGAUCUUUAUGUUUUGAGUUUGCAUUUUAUUUA
This is a long non-coding RNA of Helianthus annuus (common sunflower), 1316 nucleotides long. RefSeq lists it as uncharacterized. The record is from RefSeq and is a predicted model, not a curated record. Lineage: Eukaryota; Viridiplantae; Streptophyta; Magnoliopsida; Asterales; Asteraceae. The transcript is spliced from 3 exons.